CCGAAGCCAAGGCCACUUCACCGAGGGGCGCCCCGGGAAAACCUCCCCUCUAAUUACCAGGAAUUUCCCUUCGUCCCUCCUCCGGGAGCCCAGCCCGGCCACUCUGGGGCUGGCGGACAAGGAGACUCAGCGUGAGACAAGACUCGACGUUUGCAUAAACGUUGCCUGGGAGCCAUCUAUUAGCUACCCAGCUAAGUCACUAGCUCAACUACUAGGGAAAACACAGAACCCAGGCCUGGGAACCGCGCGGGUACGCGGCUCUGGUCGCCCCCGCCGCCGAGGCGCCACCUCUGGCGGUGCGGGCAACCUCGGGCUUUCAGUUGGUUGGUGACCUAUCUCCAUCUGAGACAAGCCAGGACCAUCUCAUUAACCUGCCAUCCUCUCCAUCGCCAACCCGGUUUGUGAUGAAAGGACUGAGGUUUCUCUGACCCAGGACCAAACAAGACAGGGAUUACCGUGCUGAGAUUGGGUAAGCACGAUCUCCCGCCCACCUCACUCUUUGCAAAGCACCUUCGCAUGCUGCAUCUCCUGCAAGGCAUCCUGAAGAGACACUGCCAGCUUCCUUCAACAGAUGGGAAACUGGAGCUCAAAGAACGGCUGGAGAUUGCCUGAAGAUUUCCCAGCAUGGAGGGCAGAGCCAGGAUUCCGUGACAUUCUAAGUCUAGGGUGGUUCUUGACGGCCUCUUGCCCAAUUCCAAGGAGGAUGGGGACAUCUUUCAGGAGGCCUUGUGGGCUAAUAUAGGGCCCUAGCUUGGUACCCAGAGGUGAAGACAUUCAAUUGAAUGCCGCUGUCACUGAAUCCCGACUUCUGUACAAGGCACAUACCAGGCAAAGAUAACUUCCACAGCCUCUGACUCAGAGUCGUUAAGGGUUCUCGGAGAAGCAGCUCCAAAAGCUGUCAGGAAACCAUAUCCUAGAGAGGGCACGCCCAGAGCAUGGGCAGUGCCAAUUCUCUGAGGGCCAGACAAGACACAUGAGCUCUCUAAUUGGGCACCGUGUUGCCUGGAGUCCACUAAUGCUCUUAGAGACCAUCUGGGACUUCUUUGCAGAGUAGGCGGGUGUUUUGCUCUGCUGGUACCAUCUUGCCCAGAGGUGGAGGAGCCUGGACCCUUAAAGAGGCCCCUGGAAAGGAAGCAGCUCUUCUCCCAAAGACCCUGACAUGCAGCCCCAGCGUGGCAGUGAGUGAGCUCUGCCAGGAGACCACAGUUCUGGUGUCCACUAUGACAAUGACCUCCUUCCCCAUCUUCAUGUCCUCAUCUGCCAAGCGAGGGGGGUUGUAAAGGAAGGCUCCUAACAUCUCUAACCUGGGGUUCCAAGAAGUGUGAGGGAGAGUGGUCCCAUGGAAGCUCCUGCAGACUUCUGAGGACACUUGGAGAACAGG
Molecule: long non-coding RNA, 1381 nt
Organism: Microcebus murinus (gray mouse lemur)
Lineage: Eukaryota; Metazoa; Chordata; Mammalia; Primates; Cheirogaleidae
Source: RefSeq, a predicted model, not a curated record